This 842-nucleotide ribosomal RNA is filed under the name fungal endophyte. Its description in RNAcentral is "eukaryotic LSU rRNA". The stretch from base 494 to 842 matches the Rfam family "Eukaryotic large subunit ribosomal RNA", at positions 1 to 352 of the family's 3401-position model. Lineage: Eukaryota; Fungi. The record is from RNAcentral.
UAAAGAGUUCUAUAACUCCCAAACCCAUGUGAACAUACCUAACGUUGCCUCGGCAGGUCGCACCUACCUUGUAGCACCCUACCCUGUAGGGCCUACCCGGGAGGUGCGGGUAAGCCUGCCGGCGGCCCACCAAACUCUGUUUGAUAUUGAAUUCUGAACCUAUAACUAAAUAAGUUAAAACUUUCAACAACGGAUCUCUUGGUUCUGGCAUCGAUGAAGAACGCAGCGAAAUGCGAUAAGUAAUGUGAAUUGCAGAAUUCAGUGAAUCAUCGAAUCUUUGAACGCAUAUUGCGCCCAUUAGUAUUCUAGUGGGCAGGACCGUUCGAGCGUCAUUUCAACCCUUAAGCCUUCGUUGCUUAGUGUUGGGAGCCUACGGCAACGUAGCUCCUCAAAGUUAGUGGCGGAGUUGGUUCACACUCUAGACGUAGUAAUUUUUUAUCUCGCCUAUUAGUUGGACUAAUCCCCUGCCGUAAAACCCCCAAUUUAUCAAGGUUGACCUCGAAUCGGUUCAGACAAACUCGCUAAAUUGAAGCAUCUUAGUCAGCGAAGGAAAAGAAACCAACAGGGAUUGCCCUAGUAACGGCGAGUGAAGCGGCAACAGCUCAAAUUUGAAAUCUGGCCCUCGGGUCCGAGUUGUAAUUUGUAGAGGAUGCUUUUGGCGCGGUGCCUUCCGAGUUCCCUGGAACGGGACGCCUUAGAGGGUGAGAGCCCCGUACGGUUGGACACCAAGCCUCUGUAAAGCUCCUUCGACGAGUCGAGUAGCUUGGGAAUGCUGCUCUAAAUGGGAGGUAAAUUUCUUCUAAAGCUAAAUAUUGGCCAGAGACCGAUAGCGCACAAGUAGA